This 383-nucleotide long non-coding RNA is filed under the name Gallus gallus (chicken). RNAcentral's name for it is "long non-coding RNA NONGGAT003332". Lineage: Eukaryota; Metazoa; Chordata; Aves; Galliformes; Phasianidae. The record is from RNAcentral.
AGAACACGUUGUUUUGGAAAUGGGUUCAUCCAAAAAGCUCCAUUUCCUGCGCCGCGGCCUUGGGCGGCUCAGCUGACAGUCCCUGCUGGAACGGCUUCUGUCGCCGCGCUCUGCUCCCGUCGGCAUUCAAAAGGCUCUUUUCAACGGCACCCCCCUUAGCGAGCUCUCCUGGUCCUCCUCGCUGGCUGUCGUGGCCGUUUCCUUCUCUGGGCUCUUCACCUUCAUCUUCCUCAUGUUGGCCUGCCUGUGCUGCAAGAAGGGAGAUAUCGGCUUCAAGGAGUUUGAGAACGCCGAGGGGGACGACUACGUGACGGAGUUCUCGGCCCAGGGCUCGCCCGCCCCGCAGCAUGGCCCCGAGGUGUACGUCCUGCCCCUCACCGAGG